GAUGAACGCUGGCGGCGUGGAUAAGGCAUGCAAGUCGAGUGGGUUUAGGCCCACGGCAAACGGGUUAGUAAUGCAUAGGAAUUUUCCUCGAAGUCGUGAAUAAUCCGGAGAAAUCCGGAAUAAUACACGAUGUGCUCUACGGAGUAAAGAUUUAUCGCUUUGAGAGAAGCCUAUGUCCUAUCAGCUUGUUGGUGGUGUAAAGGACCACCAAGGCUAUGACGGGUAGGGGGUGUGAGAGCACGGCCCCCAACAUUGGGACUGAGACACUGCCCAAACUCCUACGGGAGGCUGCAGUCGAGAAUAUUCGUCAAUGCGCGAAAGCGUGAACGAGCGACGCCGCUUCGUG
Molecule: ribosomal RNA, 346 nt
Filed under: uncultured bacterium
Lineage: Bacteria
Description: bacterial SSU rRNA
Rfam family: Bacterial small subunit ribosomal RNA
Source: RNAcentral